RNAcentral lists this small nuclear RNA (99 nucleotides) under Nicotiana sylvestris (wood tobacco). The record is from RNAcentral. Lineage: Eukaryota; Viridiplantae; Streptophyta; Magnoliopsida; Solanales; Solanaceae.
GUCACUUCGGGGACAUCCGGUAGAAUUGAAAUGACACAGAGAAAAUUAGCAUAGCUCAUGCGCAAGAAUAAAAGGAAAAAAAGAAAAAAAAAGGAAUAU